Molecule: ribosomal RNA, 32 nt
Filed under: Anopheles strodei
Lineage: Eukaryota; Metazoa; Arthropoda; Insecta; Diptera; Culicidae
Also listed under: 3 other names
Description: partial 28S ribosomal RNA
Source: RNAcentral
UGGGCCUCAAAUAAUGUGUGACUACCCCCUAA